UACGAGGGGUCCUAGCGUUGUUCGGAAUCAUUGGGCGUAAAGAGUCUGUAGGCGGCCAUGUAAGUCAGGUGUGAAAGCCCCGGGCUCAACCCGGGAAGUGCAUUUGAUACUGCAUGGCUUGAAUGUUGGAGAGGGCAGCAGAAUUCCAGGUGUAGUGGUGAAAUACGUAGAUAUCUGGAGGAAUACCGGUGGCGAAGGCGGCUGCCUGGCCAAACAUUGACGCUGAGAGACGAAAGCGUGGGGAGCAAACAGG
This 253-nucleotide unclassified non-coding RNA is filed under the name uncultured Pseudobdellovibrionaceae bacterium. Its description in RNAcentral is "uncultured Bdellovibrionaceae bacterium contains 16S-23S intergenic spacer region". It matches the Rfam family "Bacterial small subunit ribosomal RNA", at positions 524 to 776 of the family's 1533-position model. The record is from RNAcentral. Lineage: Bacteria; Pseudomonadati; Bdellovibrionota; Bdellovibrionia; Bdellovibrionales; Pseudobdellovibrionaceae.